Long non-coding RNA from Quercus lobata, 331 nucleotides. RefSeq lists it as uncharacterized. The transcript is spliced from 3 exons. The record is from RefSeq and is a predicted model, not a curated record. NCBI's taxonomy places the organism in Eukaryota, Viridiplantae, Streptophyta, Magnoliopsida, Fagales, Fagaceae.
AGCUCUUUUAGUUCUUUCACAGAGACUUAUCCUCAUUUUCCGGCAUGGCAGUAUGAUGUGAUGAAUCCUAAUGGAGCGUAUAGUUCUAUGCCUUUGACUAGGCCCGAGCACGUACCAAAUGUUCCUUGGCCCGAUCUGGUUGAUGUGGAUCUUAUGGAAGAAAGCAUGCAGAUGAUUGGAGUCUUGCAAUCAUUGGCUCGCACUCAGUCCUCCCAAUAUGUGCUCAAUGAUUUGAAUUGGCACAUUGAAUGGAAACUGCUGAUGCUGCCAGAAGAACUUUAGAGGAAAGGAUCAGGAGCCUCGAAUUUGAAAAUCGUCAGUACGAUCCCCG